AGGGAAUCUUCGGCAAUGGACGGAAGUCUGACCGAGCAACGCCGCGUGAGUGAAGAAGGUUUUCGGAUCGUAAAGCUCUGUUGUAAGAGAAGAACGAGUGUGAGAGUGGAAAGUUCACACUGUGACGGUAUCUUACCAGAAAGGGACGGCUAACUACGUGCCAGCAGCCGCGGUAAUACGUAGGUCCUGAGCGUUGUCCGGAUUUAUUGGGCGUAAAGCGAGCGCAGGCGGUUAGAUAAGUCUGAAGUUAAAGGCUGUGGCUUAACCAUAGUACGCUUUGGAAACUGUUUAACUUGAGUGCAAGAGGGGAGAGUGGAAUUCCAUGUGUAGCGGUGAAAUGCGUAGAUAUAUGGAGGAACACCGGUGGCGAAAGCGGCUCUCUGGCUUGUAACUGACGCUGAGGCUCGAAAGCGUGGGGAGCAAACAGGAUUAGAUACCCUGGUAGUCCACGCCGUAAACGAUGAGUGCUAGGUGUUAGACCCUUUCCGGGGUUUAGUGCCGCAGCUAACGCAUUAAGCACUCCGCCUGGGGAGUACGACCGCAAGGUUG
RNAcentral lists this ribosomal RNA (549 nucleotides) under uncultured bacterium. RNAcentral describes it as "bacterial SSU rRNA". It matches the Rfam family "Bacterial small subunit ribosomal RNA", at positions 356 to 896 of the family's 1533-position model. The record is from RNAcentral.